CCUUGAUGUAUCUUGUAACAUCCAGUUCCAGUGCUUGUUUCUCACACUCGCCGACCCUCGUAGUUUCUUACAGGCUUGAUCUCAGUAUACUGCCACACUGGUCUGCAGAACAGGCUGAAAAGGUGUAUGCUUCACCACUGUCACCCAUGAAGAGCUAAAAAAGCAUGUGUGCUUUGACUCAGUGGAAUGCAAUGUCAGUUGCAAAAAGAAGCAGAAAUUCAUUAUUAAUGUAAGCUAAAGCUCAAGCGCACUCCAAUUUCCCCGCUGUGAGAACUGGAGGGUGCGUGUUCUGCGGGCCCAAACACCAGAGGAAUGCAGAAUGGUCAGUAUGACAUGGAUUUUUAAAAGGUUUCCUAAGGAGAUGCAGAAGAGGAACUACGGAGAGGUAACCCUGACUUCUGCAUUGGGCAAGUUGGUGGAAGCGAUCAAAAAGAAAGCAAUUAAUGGGAGUGUGGAUAAAUGCUUUCAACUGGGGAAGAAUCGGUAUGGAUAUUGUUGACUUCUCUUGACACAUGAAUCCAAUGGCAUUCUUGGAAGGAAUCAGUAAUCAUGUGCAUUAGAAAGGACCUGCUGCUAUAGUCUACUUCAAUUUUCAAACAAUGCUGCUGGGUAACCCUAUAUUUGGCUGGCUAUGCACAGUUGUAGUGCCUCUGUCUCAAAAUGUAUAAACUAAAACUUGAAGAGGCAUCCAGAUGGGUGUGGAAGACUUGGUGCACCUUCUGUAUUAGCCCUGACCGGCUCAACCAGGACAGUUCACCCUGGGGGAAAAAAAAAGAUGCCUGAGAGGGCACUUCACAUGAGAGAAGAUGAAUAGAAAAUAACUCUUUACUCUCUCUCUGAACACAUGAACUCAGGGGCUUCGAAUAAAACUAGCAGUAUCCCCACUCAGAACAAACACAGCACUGUUCUGCACACAGAGCGUGACUAAGCCACACCCAGUUGAUGCAUUUUCAGGAGCUCUGCAGGACUGGAGCUCAUGUGUAGCUCUGCCGAUUUGCUGAACUCUGUGGAAUCAGAGAAGCAGAAUUGGCAGCCUCUGAUGAAACUUUUCAUCUUCCUAUAAUACAGAAAGCCAGCCUAGCAGGCUUUGAACUUGUUGAAACUCAGGCUAUGCACUUGGACCAGACCUUUUAAGACGGAGCCAAUUUUAUCUGAGCACUAUACAUUUUCUGAUCAUAAGUACAGAGAGCUGUUUCUGAGAUGCAAAAUCUUUCUGUAAUUAAACAGUUCCCUUUUAAGCUUGACUUUUUAUGCUUGAAAUAUUUUUUGAUCAGAUAGGUUCUACAAAAGCAGUAUGGAUCCAUUUACACCCCCUGUGAAGAAAAAAUAUUUUCCCCUGAGGGAGCUGGAAAGCUCUGAAAAACGUAUGUUCUGUCACACCAAGUUUAAUGGAGGGGAAUGAUAUCUUUUAACUUGCUCUUCAGAAUAUCAGUGGGUGCUAAGGUAAAAAAUAGUACCAAGAUGUUCUGCAUACAAAUUAAGACCUCCCUGGACAUGUCUCCUCUCUUAGUCACUGACUGACUGGUGUUUAGGCAUUUGCUGUCCCUACCUGGAGUGGCACACAGUUAACUGUUAUUUUUUCAAGGGUGCAUAUCCCACCUUUAAAUCUGUCUCUGUAGCCCAGGGAGUACACUAUUUUAAUUGUAUACAUGUCUUGACCUUCACAUCUUCCCUGUAAAUGCUGGGAACCCCAAGCUGUGCAGCACAGAACAAGCCUGUGAUCCUUCCACAUGCAAUACACUGUGCAGACCCUAUCCCCAGGCACGGUUAUCCAUUUUGGUUAUUUGAGCUAGUCUAGGAUUUUUCUUUCAAGACAGCAACUCCAUUCCUUCUUGCCGAUGCCCAACGGGAAGGAUGUUCACAUGAGAACUUCUUGCUGCCCUGUUAGAUGCUGCCUGCAGUGUUCCCUGUUUCAGCAAGCUGGCUGUAACCAUCCUGCAGACAGAGAAUUUGGGCAGCGCAGCCCCAAAAACCACCCAGCACAGGCCUGGGAUCCCUCAGGUUCACUGCUAAGUGGAUCACUAACUGCUUUAUGUAUAAAAUAUAUAUAGAAAAUAUAUAUAUAAAAAAAAGUGUGUAUAUAUAUAUUACAUAUACAUGUAUAUAUAACAUAUAUACAUAUAUCAUACAAUGCUUUUCCGGUCAGCAUCACUAUAGCUGGUAACUAUUUUCAAGCUGUCAUGAUGAAGCAAUGUUUGUCUCUCAACAGUUAGCUGGAUGGAGUGCCGUCAGAGCAGGACAUAGACAUGCAUGCAAAUUGUUAAUUCCUUCAACUUAAUUUUUCUAUCAGAAAAAGAGAGAUGAAGGCUGCCUUCCUUAAAACUCCUAUGGGUACAAAGUGAUCAGUUAUAAAUUUUAUCUGUACAUGAACUACAAAUUUUUUAGUCUACUUAUUCAGAAAGAUAAUUGUAUUAACAUUUUAUUGACUAUCGUUGUUUCCAGAAAAAAAGAUCGCACACUGUAUCUCAUGUAUAAGCAACUUCUCUGGAAGAUUUUUCAUAAGCGUUUGUAUCUGUUCUGUAAGUAAGGAGCACCAGUCAGUAGACGUUAACUAGAUUUAGUAGAUGGGUCUGCAAGAAUAUUAAGAGAUCCUCAGCAAAUGUGUGGUGAAAUAAAUAUGGAUUUAUAAACUGAAAGCAUCCUCAAUUUUUUUCUGUAAAACUGUUAAUAUAGUCAUGACAGUUUUAUUGUUUACUUAUUUAAAGGAGUAUCUGUGGUCUGCAGUUUGCAGAGACACAGAGCCACGGCUGGCACAUAACAUCCAGGGCUUCCUGCAUAGCUCUUCCAAAUACUGAGCCUACUAGCAAAUUCUUUUGCUCAUAGUGUGACCUCCAUAGGUCAUACUAAUUACAGAGAAGUUGAAAAACAUUGAUUUCUGUGUAGUCUCCUUUUGAUUUUUGCAUUGGUGUUUUCAGAGUAGAAAAUAUGCUUUCCCUCCUUUCGAGAUCUGCUUUCAGGCAUCAUGUGGGGACACGGAAACAAGCAGUUGUUGUGAUGUGUCAUGUAUGUUCUCUCUGUAAUUUUUGGCAGAUCAUUUAACAUAUUUUCUUGAUUUCUGCCUUGGCAAAAUAGCAAAACUGCUACUAUUUUAGUAAAUUGUGUGACAUAAUGUUAAAAGAAUAAAACAAGUUAUUUCUGUUACUGUAUCAGCAACUUCUUUCAGAGAUCUAUGGCAGACAAUUUGCUUAGUAAACUUUUUCAAACUGCAACAAACUGAUAGCAGAAUGAAUGUAUACAAGUAGAACAAAACUACAGAAGAAAGCAAACUAACUAUAACAGUAUCUCAUGUUAAAGAGUUUUGUGUUGUUAGAUAAUAGUACACCAUGGUACUGGCAAUUCUAAGAAUUCAAAAGCUAAACAUCAGUCCCCCCAAAAAAACAUAACACUGGCUUUAAGAGACAUUAUUAAAAAAAAAAAAAAUCUGAGCCAUUUUUUCAUACAUAUAAAGUGUAAUGGCAAGGCAGUAUGACACAUCUUUCAGAAGAGGAAAUGAACAGGCUAAAGGAUAUUUAGAUGUAAAUUCUUUAAUGUUCUAAAAGUGUAAGUAAUUGAAAUCAGCAGUGCUUGAUGAAGAUUUCCCUAAAGCAAUGGUUCUCUAGUGAACUUUCAGCUCUCACAUCUGGCCACAUUUUUUCUCACAAGACAAAGAUAAGUAACUUAAAAAGAGGCUUUCCGCUUAAUUUUCUCAAGGGGAGAGAAAGCAUAGAUUGAGGAAUGAUUGUGAAACAUGUCAUAUAUACAGGAAAUACCCUUACUAUAAGCGACUAACAGCAGUUUCAAAUCUAUUUUCCAAGCAGCUCACAAUAUUGAAAAGUAUGGACUGUGCUUUGACAAUAGCUGUCUCCUUGACAAUUCGCCUCCAACAGCAGCUAAAUAAAAUACAUGCCACAUUAUUUGUCCUUUAGCACUUCCGUGACAGUAUUUUUCCUAGAAAAUCUUAUUUUAAUGUUGUAAUUAGAGGGAGUAUCAAACUGUAUUACCACUCAAAGCACUUAAGAAAAACAGUAGGAAGUAAUUUUUCCUAUUGCAAAUGUUAAGUUGUAUAAUUCAUUAGUACAGAGUGUUAUGGACAUCAAAAACAUAAAUGCUU
Molecule: long non-coding RNA, 4090 nt
Organism: Columba livia (rock pigeon)
Lineage: Eukaryota; Metazoa; Chordata; Aves; Columbiformes; Columbidae
Exons: 3
Source: RefSeq, a predicted model, not a curated record